UACAGAGGGUGCAAGCGUUGUCCGGAAUCACUGGGCGUAAAGGGCGCGUAGGCGGCCCGAUAAGUAGGGGGUGAAAUCUUGCGGCUCAACCGCAAGGCUGCCUUCUAGACUGUCGGGCUUGAGCACAGUAGAGGCAGGUGGAAUUCCCGGUGUAGCGGUGAAAUGCGCAGAUAUCGGGAGGAACACCAAUUGCGAAGGCAGCUCGCUGGGACGUCACUGACGCUGAGACGCGAAAGUGUGGGGAUCAAACAGG
This 253-nucleotide ribosomal RNA is filed under the name uncultured bacterium. Its description in RNAcentral is "partial 16S ribosomal RNA". It matches the Rfam family "Bacterial small subunit ribosomal RNA", at positions 524 to 776 of the family's 1533-position model. The record is from RNAcentral.